This 350-nucleotide long non-coding RNA is filed under the name Vigna radiata. RNAcentral describes it as "long non-coding RNA (VRAD_LNC005779)". The record is from RNAcentral. Lineage: Eukaryota; Viridiplantae; Streptophyta; Magnoliopsida; Fabales; Fabaceae.
GAUCUUGUGAAUUUCCAAACUGAAAGAAUCCAGCUUCAAAAGUUCCAGCAGAAGAAACCAUGGUCCUAUUGCCUUGGAUUGAUUCAUUUGGAGUAAGAGUAAGGGUGCCUUGUGUAGAUAAUAGGAACGUGGAGAUGAUGCAGAAAAAGAAAACGCGUACCAUUGUUAACUUUCUGUGCUUAUGAUGUUUUUCCAUGGUUACAAACCUCCAUUAAACACUGGAAGAAAAUGGUUAUCCAAGUCUCUAAGACGUGCCUGAUGUCUUGAAAAGUCUUCUAGAUAACAUUGAGGCUGCAUUUUUAGACCAACAUCACUGUAACAAAUAAAUUAAGAAAUUGUCUAAUGUUGAA